This 253-nucleotide ribosomal RNA is filed under the name uncultured bacterium. RNAcentral describes it as "partial 16S ribosomal RNA". It matches the Rfam family "Bacterial small subunit ribosomal RNA", at positions 524 to 776 of the family's 1533-position model. The record is from RNAcentral.
UACGGAGGGUGCCAGCGUUAUCCGGGUUCACUGGGUUUAAAGGGUGCGUAGGUGUGCAGGUAAGUCGGUGGUGAAAUCUCCGGGCUUAACCCGGAAACUGCCAUUGAUACUAUCUGUCUUGAAUACCGUGGAGGUGAGCGGAAUAUGUCAUGUAGCGGUGAAAUGCUUAGAUAUGACAUAGAACACCAAUUGCGAAGGCAGCUCACUACGCGAAUAUUGACACUGAGGCACGAAAGCGUGGGGAUCAAACAGG